This is an RNA transcript of Vollenhovia emeryi, 3271 nucleotides long. It is a transcript of the gene named CAS1 domain-containing protein 1, with no coding region annotated. The transcript has 12 exons. The record is from RefSeq and is a predicted model, not a curated record. NCBI's taxonomy places the organism in Eukaryota, Metazoa, Arthropoda, Insecta, Hymenoptera, Formicidae.
CCACGACAAACUGUGUUCGAGUGUGUAAGUGUGUUGACUUGUGUCGGUGCGUGUCUCCCAGAGGGAAAACAGCCUGGGUGCGUUCUUUUAGGCAUCGGAUUUGGCAACCGCUGCGCAUCGGAUUUGCCGGCUGACGGAAAUCUGCGGUGCAGUCGACUGCGCAGUCGGGCUAAAAGAAUGAAUUACUGCAAAAACUGCUGUAUCCGAUGCCUAAAAGAACGCACGGCCUACGUAUCCGCAGCUUACGGCAGCACCUCGUGCACUUUCUGCACCUGGAACGCUUACGAGGCAGAAAACAAACGCGUGAUUCACUCUUGCCCCGCCGAGAAGAGGCAGCGACAAAAGAUGUGACGCGCCAACGUAGACGCUGUAUAAAUUAACCGCGGGAAGCGCGGGAUUUGCCUGAGACGUGGGGACUCGUGUCCGUUUCGAAAAUUCAUCGGCCGCGUCGCGACGCUGACGCGAACGCCGUCGACUGUACCCGACACGCGGUGGCGUGACGUUUACGCAUCAAUCAACCGCGAUACCUUUAUCACGUUGCCGCUUGUCGAAGGCAGGAGCAUUGCGAUUAGGUACGCGAGACACGGCUCGGGUACUGCCGCUCGUGUUCGACGCAGGUGCGAAAUCACAGAGGCGUCCGUCUUACUCUGCAGCGUCGAUGUAACCGACCUCGAGUCCCUUCAUGACAUCGGCGGAACAUUUUAUUAGCCUAAUAACGAUAACAAGUGCCAAAAAACUAACUACCGCGCUUGUUAUCUGCUUUAUUAUAUAUCAUGGCGUCAUACAUCUUAUUUAUGGUAGCGAUUCUUGCAAAUGGUUGCUGACAGAAGGCAGAUACAAAGGCGACAAGGAAUGGCAACCGUACGGGUGUAUGAUGCACCAUUAUACGCAAACAGACAGCAGAAGAUGUAUGAGAUAUCUAGCUUUCAUGGGCCACCAUAAUCAUUUUGUGUUCACCGGCGACGCUAGAGUAAGGCAAUUGUAUAAAUCUUUCGUUUCGCAAUUUAUGAUCGACGGCAAAGCAUCGGACCUCACGGAACUGCCGGAGAACUCUGACUUGGGUUUCAAUGACGGGCAGCUCAAGUUGAACGUACAAUUUCUGUGGAGGCCGCGACUCGAUAAUUCCAUGAUAGCAGAUCUCAGAGGCUGGAUGAAGACAGACGCACCUAGUGUAAUUGUCGCCGGGUCCGCCGCGGCUACGAUUCUUGCAAACAACAACAGCGAUACGCAACUCUAUUCGGAAUAUAACACUGGCUUGAUUCGAUUGGUACAGCCGAUAGACUUUUUGGCCAAGAAGGGAUCCCAGUUUCUAUGGCUCUUGCAAGAUCCUGUGCUCAAGGAAAGACUGCCUGCGCAGCUGUUGAGUUUAGACAACAAACAGAUCAACUUGUGCAAUAAAGCAGCCGAGAAGAUAUUGUCUCAUAGCGAGGCUCGUGUAUGGCAUAGCAGCAAGCUGGUCGGGACCGGUGUUCUCGAGCAGAGUCCGGAUGGUUAUUUGGCGAGUCCAUUGUCACUUCGUCAUAAAGUUCAAAUACUGUUAAACACAUACUGCAACGAUCAUAUGAACUUUGAUGACGGCAGUUGUUGCAGUUAUCCCGAAUCGGCAACUACUCUACAAUUGUUAAGUCUGUCUGCGCUCGCAUUAUUCUUGACAAUAGGAGGGGGAGUGUGGCUGCACAGGAAAUUAUGCAAGUAUCGUUCCGAGGUGUCGUAUUCUCACGUCACUACCGAGGAAGUAGAAGAUACGGAAGACACCUCGGCAGGUACCUCGGAGGUCAUUCAAGUUAAGCAGCCUGAGGUACAAGAUUUCUACACCCUCGUUACAUCGCUAGCCCUCUUUUCUAUUAUAUUAGCGUAUUUUUACUUGUGUGAUAGAACCAACUUUUUCAUGAAGGAGAACAAGUAUUACAGUGAAUUCAGUUUUUGGCUACCGCUCGGCUAUAUCCUGGCUCUCGGAUUAUUUCUCACCGAGGAUCGCGAGAGAGGACCGAGAGUGUUAAACAGAGAACAAACGGACGAAUGGAGAGGUCUGAUGCAAGCGGUAGUGCUCAUCUACCAUGUCACCGGUGCCAAAAACGUCUUGCCGAUCUACAUGUAUUUAAGAUUAAUUAAUUCUGCCUACUUAUUUCUCUCUGGAUAUGGACACUUUUAUUACUUUUGGCAAACUGGCGACGUGUCUCUCGUCCGAUUUGCUAGAGUCAUGUUUCGAUUAAACCUGUUAACAGUAUCCUUAUGCCUUUGCAUGAACAGGCCGUAUCAAUUUUAUCAUUUCGUACCACUGGUAUCGUUCCGGUUUCUAGUGAUUUAUUUUCUGGCUUGGUUACCACCCAGAAUAUAUUCUGGAAGUUUGGCGGAAUACGGACCCAGAGCCUUGUUGUACUUCGCUUUGAAACUCUUGGGUCUUGUAUCGAUAAUUACCAUACUGUACAUGUCGGAGGUGUUUUUUGAGAAAGUCUUCGUCACGAGACCUUGGAAAGCAUUAUUCGUGACGACUGAUGACGAUAUCCGCGAAUGGUGGUCCCGUUGGAGAGUCGACAGAUACAGCGUAGUCUGGGGCUUGACCUUCGGAGCUGCUCUCGUCGCUCUUCAGAGAAUAGAUCACAUCCCGGGCACCGCGUUAUCUUCUGUACUGGCACUGGUCUCCUUAGUGGCGUAUACUACUUUCACGAUUUUAUGUCACUCUGUGUCCGAGUGCGAGGAAAUUCAUUCUUAUGUCGCGUUUAUUCCGAUUAUAGGAUACAUUGCUCUCCGAAACGCAUCAUUGGCAUUGCGGGGGAAACACUCUGCACUUUUAGCUGGAUUGGGUAGAAUGAGCUUGGAAACAUUGGUGGCGCAAGGUCAUAUAUGGUUGGCGGCAGAUUCGCACGGAGUACUUGUACUAUUACCCAGAUUCCCAGUGCUGAAUCUAUUGGUUACGUCGUUUAUUUUCAUCUGCGCCAGUCACGAAAUUCACAGAUUGACGCACGUUUUGGCACCGUACGCAGUACCGAACGAUUGGAAGCUAGUAGCACGCAAUUUGCUGCUCUUUAUAGCUGUGUUGGUACCUAUCGGCAUUCACGAUGGAAUGUUUUAAACAAUUCUGAUUGCCAUCCAAUGCAUCAAAAUCAAAGAUAUUAGCAGUAUUAACGGGUACGAGGAGAAUUUUUCAUAUCAUAGGCCAGUUGAAGGAAAGAUUAAUAAGUAAAACUAACUGCCUGGCCAUUGUGUUUCACAUGGCUGGUGUACACAUCAUAACCGAGAGAUAUCGUAUUAUCGUAAAACACCCUGUAUC